UAUUUAUUAGAUAAAAAACCAAUGCCCUUCGGGGCUCCUUGGUGAAUCAUAAUAACUUAACGAAUCGCAUGGCCUUGCGCCGGCGAUGGUUCAUUCAAAUUUCUGCCCUAUCAACUUUCGAUGGUAGGAUAGUGGCCUACCAUGGUAUCAACGGGUAACGGGGAAUUAGGGUUCGACUCCGGAGAGGGAGCCUGAGAAACGGCUACCACAUCCAAGGAAGGCAGCAGGCGCGCAAAUUACCCAAUCCCGACACGGGGAGGUGGUGACAAUAAAUACUGAUACAGGGCUCUUUUGGGUCUUGUAAUUGGAAUGAGUACAAUUUAAAUCCCUUAACGAGGAACAAUUGGAGGGCAAGUCUGGUGCCAGCAGCCGCGGUAAUUCCAGCUCCAAUAGCGUAUAUUAAAGUUGUUGCAGUUAAAAAGCUCGUAGUUGAACCUUGGGCCUGGCUGGCCGGUCCGCCUCACCGCGUGUACUGGUCCGGCCGGGCCUUUCCUUCUGGGGAACCUCAUGCCCUUCACUGGGCGUGUUGGGGAACCAGGACUUUUACUUUGAAAAAAUUAGAGUGUUCAAAGCAGG
RNAcentral lists this ribosomal RNA (576 nucleotides) under uncultured eukaryote. RNAcentral describes it as "SSU rRNA". It matches the Rfam family "Eukaryotic small subunit ribosomal RNA", at positions 203 to 784 of the family's 1831-position model. The record is from RNAcentral.